This 70-nucleotide transfer RNA is filed under the name Nassarius nitidus. Its description in RNAcentral is "tRNA-Ala". It matches the Rfam family "tRNA". From Rfam's summary of the family: Transfer RNA (tRNA) molecules are approximately 80 nucleotides in length. Their secondary structure includes four short double-helical elements and three loops (D, anti-codon, and T loops). The record is from RNAcentral. Lineage: Eukaryota; Metazoa; Mollusca; Gastropoda; Neogastropoda; Nassariidae. RNAcentral also lists the same sequence under 1 other name.
UGACUUGAUACUUUAAGGUAAAAGAUCUGAUUUGCAUUCAGACAAUAAGUUUUUUAAACUUUCGGGUCAA